Long non-coding RNA from Xiphias gladius (swordfish), 515 nucleotides. RefSeq lists it as uncharacterized. NCBI's taxonomy places the organism in Eukaryota, Metazoa, Chordata, Actinopteri, Istiophoriformes, Xiphiidae. The record is from RefSeq and is a predicted model, not a curated record. The transcript has 4 exons.
GUGAAACAAAAGAAAAUGUUCUGUUUUCUCCUUAUAAUGGAGUUUGGAUGAUUAUUAAUAGUAAUGUGUGUUGUUUGUGGGGUUAUGGUGUUACUAUGUAUUGGUUUAAUGUUACGCUGGACUGUUCGGGGCAUUUCCUGGAAAUCAGUGUUGCAAGAGUGGCUUUGGCUAGGAAAGCCAGGUUUCAUCAGGGUGUACUGGAAAGGCCAGGUUUCAUCAGGGUAUGCUGGGAAGCCAGGUUUCAUCAGGGUAUGCUGGGAAGCCAGGUUUCAUCAGGGUAUGCUGGGAAGCCAGGGAACAAUGCUCCAGUAGGACAAUUCAUCAGAGACGGGUGUGCAGUGAAAUUGCAUUGUGAAAACAUGAAGACCGUGUUUCUUGCUCUUUUUGCAGUGUUGGUUGUCAGAGUGAAGCCUUGAGGUGUUACUGAAGAUCCCUCUGGAGACCUGCUACCGUCCAAAUGAUGUCUGUGCCAGGGUCCUCAUUUAUGCUGGAUCCAGAGCUUUUCUGCGACGCUG